AUUGAAACGCCGCUUCUCGUAAGACCGCCGAAGUUAAGCAACGUCGUGCCCGAUCAGUAUCUAGACGGGGGACCGCUUGGGAAUUCCAAGUGCUGUAAG
Non-coding RNA from Acanthosepion pharaonis, 99 nucleotides. The record is from the annotation of a GenBank genome assembly. NCBI's taxonomy places the organism in Eukaryota, Metazoa, Mollusca, Cephalopoda, Sepiida, Sepiidae.